GUAGUCGAAUUCACAUCAAUCUAUAUGUAUUGGAGUGAGUUGAAGUGGAACUUAAAUUCCACCUCAAUCCACUCCAAUACAUAUGGAUUGAAAUGAAUCUGACA
Sorghum bicolor (sorghum) is the source of this 104-nucleotide microRNA precursor. It matches the Rfam family "MIR5565 microRNA precursor family". The record is from Rfam. Lineage: Eukaryota; Viridiplantae; Streptophyta; Magnoliopsida; Poales; Poaceae.